UACCUUUUACAGAGGGAUAGCCCAGAGAAAUUUGGAUUAAUACCUCAUAGUAUUACGACUCGGCAUCGAGAUGUAAUUAAAGUCACAACGGUAAAAGAUGAGCAUGCGUCCCAUUAGCUAGUUGGUAAGGUAACGGCUUACCAAGGCUACGAUGGGUAGGGGUCCUGAGAGGGAGAUCCCCCACACUGGUACUGAGACACGGACCAGACUCCUACGGGAGGCAGCAGUGAGGAAUAUUGGACAAUGGGCGCAAGCCUGAUCCAGCCAUGCCGCGUGCAGGAUGACGGUCCUAUGGAUUGUAAACUGCUUUUAUACGAGAAGAAACACUCCGACGUGUCGGAGCUUGACGGUAUCGUAAGAAUAAGGAUCGGCUAACUCCGUGCCAGCAGCCGCGGUAAUACGGAGGAUCCAAGCGUUAUCCGGAAUCAUUGGGUUUAAAGGGUCCGUAGGCGGUUUAAUAAGUCAGUGGUGAAAGCCCAUCGCUCAACGGUGGAACGGCCAUUGAUACUGUUAAACUUGAAUUAUUAGGAAGUAACUAGAAUAUGUAGUGUAGCGGUGAAAUGCUUAGAGAUUACAUGGAAUACCAAUUGCGAAGGCAGGUUACUACUAAUGGAUUGACGCUGAUGGACGAAAGCGUGGGUAGCGAACAGGAUUAGAUACCCUGGUAGUCCACGCCGUAAACGAUGGAUACUAGCUGUUGGAAGCAAUUUCAGUGGCUAAGCGAAAGUGAUAAGUAUCCCACCUGGGGAGUACGUUCGCAAGAAUGAAACUCAAAGGAAUUGACGGGGGCCCGCACAAGCGGUGGAGCAUGUGGGUUUAUUUCGAUGAUACGCGAGGAACCUUACCAAGGCUUAAAUGUAGAUUGACCGUUUUGGAAACAGAACUUUCGCAAGACAUUUACAAGGU
This 906-nucleotide ribosomal RNA is filed under the name Flavobacterium sp. 20R-1. Its description in RNAcentral is "bacterial SSU rRNA". It matches the Rfam family "Bacterial small subunit ribosomal RNA", at positions 127 to 1039 of the family's 1533-position model. The record is from RNAcentral. Lineage: Bacteria; Pseudomonadati; Bacteroidota; Flavobacteriia; Flavobacteriales; Flavobacteriaceae.